This 372-nucleotide ribosomal RNA is filed under the name uncultured organism. RNAcentral's name for it is "partial 16S ribosomal RNA". It matches the Rfam family "Bacterial small subunit ribosomal RNA", at positions 527 to 896 of the family's 1533-position model. The record is from RNAcentral.
GUAGGUGGCAAGCGUUGUCCGGAAUUAUUGGGCGUAAAGCGCGCGCAGGCGGGGUUUUAAGUCUGAUGUGAAAGCCCACGGGCUCAACCGUGGAGGGUCAUUGGAAACUGGAGAACUUGAGUACAGAAGAGGAAAGCGGAAUUCCACGUGUAGCGGUGAAAUGCGUAGAGAUGUGGAGGAACACCAGUGGCGAAGGCGGCUUUCUGGUCUGUAACUGACGCUGAGGCGCGAAAGCGUGGGGAGCAAACAGGAUUAGAUACCCUGGUAGUCCACGCCGUAAACGAUGAGUGCUAAGUGUUAGGGGGUUUCCGCCCCUUAGUGCUGCAGCUAACGCAUUAAGCACUCCGCCUGGGGAGUACGGCCGCAAGGCUG